RNAcentral lists this ribosomal RNA (115 nucleotides) under Candidatus Komeilibacteria bacterium RIFOXYC1_FULL_37_11. The record is from RNAcentral. RNAcentral also lists the same sequence under 2 other names. Lineage: Bacteria; Candidatus Komeiliibacteriota.
UCUCGUGGCACUAGCGAGUUGGCAACACCUGAUCCCAUUUCGAACUCAGUAGUUAAGCGACUCAGCGCCGAUGGUAAUAGCUUAUCAUGGCUGUGAGAGUAGGUCGUCGCGAGAG